RNAcentral lists this ribosomal RNA (463 nucleotides) under uncultured bacterium. RNAcentral describes it as "partial 16S ribosomal RNA". It matches the Rfam family "Bacterial small subunit ribosomal RNA", at positions 28 to 507 of the family's 1533-position model. The record is from RNAcentral.
GAUGAACGCUGACAGAAUGCUUAACACAUGCAAGUCUUUGGCGAAUCUGUGCUUGCACAGGCUAGCCAAGGCGGACGGGUGAGUAACGCGUAAAGAACUUGCCCUGCAGACAGGGAUAACAGACGGAAACGACUGAUAACACCUGAUACAGUUGCCGGCACGCAUGUGCCUGGCAAUGAAAAGAGAUGCUGCAGGAGAGCUUUGCGUCCUAUUAGCUUGUUGGUGAGGUGACGGCUCACCAAGGCGAUGAUAGGUAGCCGGCCUGAGAGGGUGAACGGCCACAAGGGGACUGAGAUACGGCCCUUACUCCUACGGGAGGCGGCAGUGGGGAAUAUUGGACAAUGGGGGCAACCCUGAUCCAGCAAUUCUGUGUGCACGAAGAAGGUUUUCGGAGUGUAAAGUGCUUUCAGCAGGGAAGAAGAAAGUGACGGUACCUGCAGAAGAAGCGACGGCUAAAUACGUG